This 95-nucleotide ribosomal RNA is filed under the name uncultured bacterium. RNAcentral's name for it is "partial 16S ribosomal RNA". It matches the Rfam family "Bacterial small subunit ribosomal RNA", at positions 1386 to 1482 of the family's 1533-position model. The record is from RNAcentral.
CACACCGCCCGUCACACCAUGGGAGUGGGUUGUACCAGAAGUGAGUAGACUAACGCAAGAGGUCGCUCACCACGGUAUGGUUCAUGACUGGGGUG